UCAUACACUCUAAUUCUCACCCCCUUAUAUUUUCUAAAAUAAAUAACUUUUAGCUUUCACAAACACGGUAUCACCUCCUCACUCUCCGCACCCUCUUCCCUCCUCAGUACUCUCCCAUUCCUCUUCUUCUCACUUCACCGAUCUUCUUCAUUUUCUUCUUCGUCUUCAAUCUCACUUCACCUCAUCAUCUUCAAGUAAGUUACCCGACUUCAUCUCAUUGCAUUUUAAUUUUUUUAAUUUUCCCUUUCCUCUACAAUGAAGCUUUCGCCAUUGUUGCGGAGCUUCAUUGCACCAGAUUUUAAAACCCGAUAAAUGUUGUAGUGCUUUGAGUUUUAAAACUCGGUAGUUAUUACGAGACGUAUAUACCGGGUUUUAGAACCCGAUACUAGAAUGGUAGGCUUGUUUCGUUAUGGGUUUCAAGAAACGGUAAGUUUUAGCUAGGGCAGAGAAAUGUUGUGUUUUGGGUUUUAGAACUUGAUAGUGCAUAAACAAAUUCAGUGUUCUAAGUUUUAAAACACAGUAGUACCAAAUACAUUGAGUUUGAGUUUCGGAUUUUUGAACUCUUUAAUGCAUAAAAUUUAUUUUAUUAUUCUGAUAUUUAAAUUUGGUAUUGAAUAGGAUUGUUUUGAAAUCUAAAACCCAUUUGUAUUUAAAUCUAGGCUAAAAAGCACUUUUGGCCCCUGAUGUUUCAAGUUUGUGCAAAUUCUGCCCCUACUCUAUUUUUGUCGAUGUUUCUACCCCUCAUGUUUUCAAACAGUGCAUCGUCUACCCCUCAUGUUUUCAAACAAUGCACCGUCUACCCCUCCGUCAGGGGUAGACGGUGCACUGUUUGAAAACAUGAGGGGUAGAAACAUCGACAAAAAUAGAUAGGGGCAGAACUUGCACAAACUUGAAACAUCAGGGGCCAAAAAUGCUUUUUAGCCUUAAAUCUAAUUAUUUUUGUUUUGUUUUCUUUGUUGCUUGGUUUACCAUUGUUUUGAUUAUUAUUUCUGGUUUAUUUUUUUAUUGAAUCGUUCUAUCUCUGUUAGGGUUUCACUAUCUCUGGCUUUCAUGGUGGCAGUAGGCCUAGACUCUGGUGUCUCGCCAGCUGUCACAGUUCAAAGCAUGAUAGGGGCGAGGAGGAUAGUGGGAUCCGGAGAAUGACGUUGAGGAUGGGGCGGCUCAAGGGAACAAUGGUGGAAAUCUAUCUAUUACCUAUCUUUUCAUUGACGCAAUAGCGGAAUCAGUGGGAUUUCUCCAGCUUAGAGGGUUAUUCGCACAACAUGGGACAGUCGUGAAUGCCUUCAUUCAACAUUAGAGGAAGAUUGGAAGUUUGUUCCAUUUCAGCUUUGUUCGCUUCUCAUCGAGGAAGGAUGUAAUGCCUGUGAUCAAAUUUCUAAAUGGUGUUCUGGCCGGUAGCAUCGCCUUAUUGCGUCGUUGGCUAGGUUUCUUCAUUCUAGUGCAGAGAGUUUAGGUAAGUGGGUACGCAAUGCUUCAUUUUUGUCUAAUAAGAUGGGGAGUUCUUCGCAAGUCGUGAAUGGUAUGUAGAAGGCAAAAGGUCUUCGUGCGGUUUGCUUCUCUUCUAAGGAGGAAAUAAUGCUCUUCGUUUUCUCAAGGGUAUGUGUAAUGGCUUCAAGAUUUUCGAACGAUACUUUUUUUUUCAGAAAUUGUUUUCGUUGCUUGUGGGUUAGAAGUAGAACACGUGCUGGUAGGUGGUCGAGUGUAGAUAGAUAGGGAGAAUGUGUUGGUCCUUUCAUCUUUUACGAAAUAGGGGUUUAUUGAUAAUCACUUUUUGGGUUUUAUUUAUGGAUUGGCUUCACUAAUUUUGUGGUUGGAUUUAUGGGAGGGGAAAAUGUUCAAGUUUUGUAUCAAUGGUGUUUUUAUUUCCAAGCUGGUUAUGAAUUUUUAGCCUAGUGUCUGGCUCACGAUCUCGGUUAGAGGGGGGCUCAAUGUGCAUUGUCCUGGGUUCUGCGACAUGCCUUCUGUGGUCGUGCCUUUUCGAUUGUUCGAAGCAAGGCAUGGAGAGUGGGUUUGUUUGUGCCUACUGCUAUCAUCUCCAAUGGGUGUUCAAAUCUACAUCAUUUCGUUAUUUCUUCUUAUUUGGUAUAUCUAGUGACUCAGACAUCACUCCUUUUUGUCUCUCUAAUCCUGUGGAGGCCAACCAUGAUUUUGGGUUAAAGGAUUUACCUUCCUCUUUGUGGGGAGUGGAGGUUGCG
Molecule: long non-coding RNA, 2195 nt
Filed under: Lotus japonicus
Lineage: Eukaryota; Viridiplantae; Streptophyta; Magnoliopsida; Fabales; Fabaceae
Description: long non-coding RNA (LJAP_LNC000059)
Source: RNAcentral